RNAcentral lists this ribosomal RNA (406 nucleotides) under uncultured bacterium. Its description in RNAcentral is "partial 16S ribosomal RNA". It matches the Rfam family "Bacterial small subunit ribosomal RNA", at positions 30 to 526 of the family's 1533-position model. The record is from RNAcentral.
AUUGAACGCUGGCGGCAGGCCUAACACAUGCAAGUCGAACGAGUGGCGGACGGGUGAGUAAUGUCUGGGAAACUGCCUGAUGGAGGGGGAUAACUACUGGAAACGGUAGCUAAUACCGCAUACCAUCGGAUGUGCCCAGAUGUGAUUAGCUAGUAGGUGGGGUAAAGGCUCACCUAGGCGACGAUCCCUAGCUGGUCUGAGAGGAUGACAAGGCACACUGGAACUGAGACACGGUCGAGACUCCUACGGGAGGCAGCAGGGGGGAAUAUUGCACAAUGGGCGCAAGCCUGAUGCAGCCGUGCCGCGUGUAGGAAGAAGGCCUUCGGGUUGUAAAGCACUUUCAGCGGGGAGGCGUUACCCGCAGAAGAAGCACCGGCUAACUCCGUGCCAGCAGCCGCGGUAAUUC